UACGGGGGGGGCAAGCGUUGUUCGGAAUUACUGGGCGUAAAGGGCUCGUAGGUGGCCAACUAAGUCAGACGUGAAAUCCCUCAGCUUAACUGGGGAACUGCGUCUGAUACUGGAUGGCUUGAGUUUGGGAGAGGGAUGCGGAAUUCCAGGUGUAGCGGUGAAAUGCGUAGAUAUCGGAAGGAACAUCAGUGGCGAAAGCGGCUUCCUGGACCAGCACCGACGUUCAGGCACGAAAGCGUGGGGAGCAAACAGG
RNAcentral lists this ribosomal RNA (253 nucleotides) under uncultured bacterium. Its description in RNAcentral is "partial 16S ribosomal RNA". It matches the Rfam family "Bacterial small subunit ribosomal RNA", at positions 524 to 776 of the family's 1533-position model. The record is from RNAcentral.